RNAcentral lists this ribosomal RNA (996 nucleotides) under Salmonella enterica subsp. enterica serovar Dublin. RNAcentral describes it as "partial 23S ribosomal RNA". It matches the Rfam family "Bacterial large subunit ribosomal RNA", at positions 347 to 1221 of the family's 2925-position model. The record is from RNAcentral. Lineage: Bacteria; Pseudomonadati; Pseudomonadota; Gammaproteobacteria; Enterobacterales; Enterobacteriaceae.
AAGGCGCGCGAUACAGGGUGACAGCCCCGUACACAAAAGCGUAUGUGCUGUGAGCUCGAUGAGUAGGGCGGGACACGUGGUAUCCUGUCUGAAUAUGGGGGGACCAUCCUCCAAGGCUAAAUACUCCUGACUGACCGAUAGUGAACCAGUACCGUGAGGGAAAGGCGAAAAGAACCCCGGCGAGGGGAGUGAAAAAGAACCUGAAACCGUGUACGUACAAGCAGUGGGAGCCCCACCACUAAGCCAGUGGUGAACUCCACAUACGCAUCCUUUGCUGAGGAUACGGUUAACGGAGCGAAAGCGACGUUCAACCGCAAAAGAAGCAGAGGGGGCUUAGUGGUGGGGUGACUGCGUACCUUUUGUAUAAUGGGUCAGCGACUUAUAUUCUGUAGCAAGGUUAACCGAAUAGGGGAGCCGGAGGGAAACCGAGUCUUAACCGGGCGUUAAGUUGCAGGGUAUAGACCCGAAACCCGGUGAUCUAGCCAUGGGCAGGUUGAAGGUUGGGUAACACUAACUGGAGGACCGAACCGACUAAUGUUGAAAAAUUAGCGGAUGACCUGUGGCUGGGGGUGAAAGGCCAAUCAAACCGGGAGAUAGCUGGUUCUCCCCGAAAGCUAUUUAGGUAGCGCCUCGUGAAUUCAUCUCCGGGGGUAGAGCACUGUUUCGGCUAGGGGGCCAUCCCGGCUUACCAACCCGAUGCAAACUGCGAAUACCGGAGAAUGUUAUCACGGGAGACACACGGCGGGUGCUAACGUCCGUCGUGAAGAGGGAAACAACCCAGACCGCCAGCUAAGGUCCCAAAGUCAUGGUUAAGUGGGAAACGAUGUGGGAAGGCCCAGACAGCCAGGAUGUUGGCUUAGAAGCAGCCAUCAUUUAAAGAAAGCGUAAUAGCUCACUGGUCGAGUCGGCCUGCGCGGAAGAUGUAACGGGGCUAAACCAUGCACCGAAGCUGCGGCAGCGAACGUAUCACUUAAAGCGAUUCAGCGGGUUACGAUU